CAUAUGCUUGUCUCAAAGAUUAAGCCAUGCAUGUCUCAGUACAAGCCGCAUUAAGGUGAAACCGCGAAAGGCUCAUUAAAUCAGUUAUGGUUCCUUAGAUCGUACCCACAUUUACUUGGAUAACUGUGGUAAUUCUAGAGCUAAUACAUGCAAACAGAGUUCCGACCGGAGACGGGAGGAAUGCUUUUAUUAGAUCAAAACCAAUCGGCGGCGGGCCUCGGUCCGUUCGCCGCUCAAUUUGGUGACUCUGAAUAACUUUCGGCUGAUCGCACGGUCUCGCACCGGCGACGCAUCUUUCAAAUGUCUGCCUUAUCAACUGUCGAUGGUAGGUUCUGCGCCUACCAUGGUCGUAACGGGUAACGGGGAAUCAGGGUUCGAUUCCGGAGAGGGAGCCUGAGAAACGGCUACCACAUCCAAGGAAGGCAGCAGGCGCGCAAAUUACCCACUCCCGGCACGGGGAGGUAGUGACGAAAAAUAACGAUACGGGACUCAUCCGAGGCCCCGUAAUCGGAAUGAGUACACUUUAAAUCCUUUAACGAGGAUCAAUUGGAGGGCAAGUCUGGUGCCAGCAGCCGCGGUAAUUCCAGCUCCAAU
Molecule: ribosomal RNA, 594 nt
Filed under: Rhantus suturalis
Lineage: Eukaryota; Metazoa; Arthropoda; Insecta; Coleoptera; Dytiscidae
Also listed under: 6 other names
Description: SSU rRNA
Rfam family: Eukaryotic small subunit ribosomal RNA
Source: RNAcentral